AGAAUCAACGCUGGCGGCGUGCCUAACACAUGCAAGUCGAACGAGAAAGGGGAGCAAUCCCUGAGUACAGUGGCGCACGGGUGAGUAACACGUGACUAACCUACCCUGGAGUGGGGAAUAACUGAGGGAAACCUUAGCUAAUACCGCAUAAUACCUACGGGUCAAAGGAGCAAUUCGCUUCAGGAGGGGUCGCGGCCGAUUAGUUAGUUGGCGGGGUAAUGGCCCACCAAGACAGUGAUCGGUAUCCGGCCUGAGAGGGCGCACGGACACACUGGAACUGAAACACGGUCCAGACUCCUACGGGAGGCAGCAGUGGGGAAUUUGCGCAAUGGGGGAACCCUGACGCAGCAACGCCGCGUGGAGGAUGAAAUCCCUUGGGAUGUAAACUCCUUUCGAUCGGGACGAUUAUGACGGUACCGGAAGAAGAAGCCCGGCUAACUUCGCGCCAGCAGCCGC
This 456-nucleotide ribosomal RNA is filed under the name uncultured bacterium. RNAcentral's name for it is "SSU rRNA". It matches the Rfam family "Bacterial small subunit ribosomal RNA", at positions 26 to 518 of the family's 1533-position model. The record is from RNAcentral.